GUCCAAUUAGAGGUGGCCUCUAGUUGCUUUAUAUCUUUCUUGCUUUACCCUAGCUUCACAUAAUCUUUCUUUCCCCCACAAUUGAAAUGGCUUUGCAGUUUGAAUGUCCUUUCCUGAAUCAGAAAACCCACUUAGCUCAAUAAAAAAGGGGGAUGGUUAGGAUAUGGAUAGACAUUGACAUUCUUCAGCGUUCUUCUUGUGAUUUCUUUGAUAAUUCAAAUUGACAUUUCCAUUGCAGUGGCUGGUGUCUCUGUCAUUUGAAUUGAAGUUUAACGGUAAAGAUGAGUGAUGAGAGCACGAGAAUUGUCAUUUUCUUGUAUUUGGUACACAGUGUCUUUUGUCCACAGUUUAAAACUCCAUUCUGAUUUAAGA
Molecule: unclassified non-coding RNA, 372 nt
Filed under: Hevea brasiliensis (rubber tree)
Lineage: Eukaryota; Viridiplantae; Streptophyta; Magnoliopsida; Malpighiales; Euphorbiaceae
Source: RNAcentral